GGGUCAGUAGGUCAGUCGUGCCACUGGUAUGCACUGGCCUUGCUGAUUCCUCCCUCUUGAUGAGCCGUAAUGUCAUUAAUUUGGUGUUGCGGAGAAUCAGGACUGUUACUUUGAAAAAAUUAGAGUGUUUAAAGCAGGCAAGCGCUUGAAUACAUUAGCAUGGAAUAAUGAAAUAGGACGUUCGAUCCUAUUUUGUUGGUUUUUAGGAUUGACGUAAUGA
This 220-nucleotide ribosomal RNA is filed under the name uncultured fungus. RNAcentral describes it as "partial 18S ribosomal RNA". The stretch from base 40 to 220 matches the Rfam family "Eukaryotic small subunit ribosomal RNA", at positions 686 to 868 of the family's 1831-position model. The record is from RNAcentral. Lineage: Eukaryota; Fungi.